Molecule: ribosomal RNA, 749 nt
Filed under: uncultured bacterium
Lineage: Bacteria
Description: bacterial SSU rRNA
Rfam family: Bacterial small subunit ribosomal RNA
Source: RNAcentral
GUCAAGCGAGAAGUUUUAGUUUGACGCUUCGGUUGAUUACUAAAAUGGACAGCGGCGCAAGGGAGAGUAACGCGUAGUUAUCUGCCCCGAGGUCCGGAAUAGCUGAGGGAAACUUCAGGUAAUACCGGAUAAUAUCCCCGGAUCAAAGGUGUGAUUCCGCCUUGGGAGGAGACUGCGUACUACUAGCUUGUUGGUGGGGUAAUGGCCUACCAAGGCUUUGAUGGUUAGCGGGCGUGAGAGCGUGGCCCGUCUCACUGGGACUGAAACACUGCCCAGACACCUACGGGUGGCUGCAGUCGAGAAUCUUCGGCAAUGGGCGAAAGCCUGACCGAGCGAUGCCGCGUGCGGGAUGAAGGCCUUCGGGUUGUAAACCGCUGUCAGUUGGGAGGAAGGCUUCGUGAAGAGCGAAGUUUGACCUAUCUUCAGAGGAAGUCCGGGCUAAGUUCGUGCCAGCAGCCGCGGUAACACGAACCGGACAAACGUUAUUCGGAAUUAUUGGGCUUAAAGGGUGCGUANGCGGCUUAGUAGGUGGGGUGUGAAAUCCCUCGGCUCAACCGAGGAACUGCGCCCCAAACCCCUAGGCUUGAGGGAGACAGAGGUAAGCGGAACUGAUGGUGGAGCGGUGAAAUGCGUUGAUAUCAUCAGAACACCGGUGGCGAAAGCGGCUUACUGGGUCUCUUCUGACGCUGAGGCACGAAAGCUAGGGUAGCGAACGGGAUUAGAUACCCCGGUAGUCCUAGCUGUAAACG